AGUGGCGGACGGGUGAGUAACGCGUGAGAAUCUGCCUUGGGGUCGGGGACAACCACUGGAAACGGUGGCUAAUACCGGAUAAGCCUUUGGGUAAAAGAUUUAUUGCCCCAAGAGGAGCUCGCGUCUGAUUAGCUAGUUGGUGAGGUAAGAGCUCACCAAGGCAGCGAUCAGUAGCUGGUCUGAGAGGACGAUCAGCCACACUGGGACUGAGACACGGCCCAGACUCCUACGGGAGGCAGCAGUGGGGAAUUUUCCGCAAUGGGCGAAAGCCUGACGGAGCAAGACCGCGUGAGGGAGGAAGGCUCUUGGGUUGUAAACCUCUUUUCUCAGGGAAGAAGCUCUGACGGUACCUGAGGAAUCAGCCUCGGCUAACUCCGUGCCAGCAGCCGCGGUAAUACGGAGGAGGCAAGCGUUAUCCGGAAUUAUUGGGCGUAAAGCGUCCGCAGGUGGCGAUUCAAGUCUGCUGUCAAAGCACGGGGCUUAACUCCGUUAAGGCAGUGGAAACUGAAUAGCUAGAGUGCCGUAGGGGUAGAGGGAAUUCCCGGUGUAGCGGUGAAAUGCGUAGAGAUCGGGAAGAACAUCGGUGGCGAAAGCGCUCUACUGGACGGCAACUGACACUCAGGGACGAAAGCUAGGGGAGCGAAUGGGAUUAGAUACCCCAGUAGUCCUAGCUGUAAACGAUGGAUACUAGGUGUAGCUUGUAUCGACCCGAGCUGUGCCGAAGCUAACGCGUUAAGUAUCCCGCCUGGGGAGUACGCACGCAAGUGUGAAACUCAAAGGAAUUGACGGGGGCCCGCACAAGCGGUGGAGUAUGUGGUUUAAUUCGAUGCAACGCGAAGAACCUUACCAGGGCUUGACAUGUCCGGAAUCCCGGUGAAAGCUGGGAGCCUUCGGGA
RNAcentral lists this ribosomal RNA (896 nucleotides) under uncultured organism. Its description in RNAcentral is "bacterial SSU rRNA". It matches the Rfam family "Bacterial small subunit ribosomal RNA", at positions 94 to 1023 of the family's 1533-position model. The record is from RNAcentral.